Molecule: ribosomal RNA, 253 nt
Filed under: uncultured bacterium
Lineage: Bacteria
Description: partial 16S ribosomal RNA
Rfam family: Bacterial small subunit ribosomal RNA
Source: RNAcentral
UACGUAGGGGGCUAGCGUUGUCCGGAAUCAUUGGGCGUAAAGCGCGUGUAGGCGGUCCGGUAAGUCCGCUGUGAAAGUCGGGGGCUCAACCCUCGAAAGCCGGUGGAAACUGUCGGGCUAGAGUGCGGAAGAGGCGAGUGGAAUUCCUGGUGUAGCGGUGAAAUGCGCAGAUAUCAGGAGGAACACCAAUUGCGAAGGCAGCUCGCUGGGACGUUACUGACGCUGAGGCGCGAAAGCUGGGGGAGCGAACGGG